AAAGUUUGCGAUGGUGAGCUGCACCAAGGAAAGGGGGGAAGAAAGGAAGCUGGAGAAGAAGGUGACGGGUGGGAACAUUGACUGAUAGAGAAGAGAAAGUAUCAUGUGUGAAUUCAAAGUUUGCGGUGGUGAGCUGCACCAAGGAAAGUGGGGAAGAAAGGAAGCUGGAGGAGAAGGUGACGGGUGGGACCAUUGAGUGAGAGAGAAGAGAAAGUAUCAUGUGUGAACCAAAAAUACCAUUGCAACAUCUGAUUUACGUGGACGAACGGAUGUGUGGAGCACAAGAACUUAGAAACUUAAAUUAUUCGCAAAUACCAUUAUACUUAGAAAAGUGCAAAUCAUGAUUAUUAAGGUCGCUCGACUCUAUCAAUACAUUAUUUUCAUCCAAAUACGUAUAAUUAAUGAGCUGUAUCAUAUAUUCGAGC
Molecule: long non-coding RNA, 425 nt
Filed under: Setaria viridis
Lineage: Eukaryota; Viridiplantae; Streptophyta; Magnoliopsida; Poales; Poaceae
Description: long non-coding RNA (SVIR_LNC007271)
Source: RNAcentral